Long non-coding RNA from Gallus gallus (chicken), 10179 nucleotides. RefSeq lists it as uncharacterized. The transcript is spliced from 3 exons. NCBI's taxonomy places the organism in Eukaryota, Metazoa, Chordata, Aves, Galliformes, Phasianidae. The record is from RefSeq and is a predicted model, not a curated record.
AGUGCCAUUAGCCCCGCUCCACGGCUCCGCGCCACCAGCAGCUCCCAGAGAAGAGCCGCGUUACGCCCGGAGGGCCGGCAAGGAAAGCUGCCGCCGUGGGACGACGGCUUCGUGACUCCCCACAUCGGACCACCCCCCGCACGGCUCCGCCUCGCCCCGCGGCCCUUUGUCUGCCGUUAAUUCACCCCUGGUCGCCCUCACCGCACCGCUCCCCAGCUCGGGGCGAUCAGGGGACACCAAGAAGUGGAUCUUUUCACCCCUCAGAAGGGGCCAGGACCCCUCCAGUCCUUACUUGUACAGAUCAGGACAGCAGCAGGAUGCUCCAAGAAGACCACUUCUUCCCAGCUGCUCUUUCUGAACCACAUCCACCCCUCACGUUGGCGUGACAUGGUCAGUGUAAGGCUGGCUUGGUUUGUACUUCUCCUGCCAGUGCCAAUUUGCUGUAAUUAUUGCAAGUCAGGUAUCUUUGCUCAGUAUCCAGCUGCUCUGAAUAACAAUCCAACAGCAGCGAUGCACACUGACGAUAACAGGCUGCUUGGGCCCUUACUAAGCAGGAGGCUUUUAAAAGCAAGUUGCAUUUAGCUUCCAUUGCAUUGGAUGGUUGUGUGCUAUCAAACAUCUUUUCAAUAUCUCACCAGCAGUCAGUCUGCAUAUGAAACAGGUUCAGAAAUCUGUUCAAGAAUCGGGCAAUAAAUAACUAUGCUGAUCAGCAUGUAGCAAUGGCAAUUUCCUUGGGCGUCAAAAUAGAUAAAGCAAUAGCAUUUCAAACACGGGGACUCUAUUUUACUUGAUGAAAGGGUCACAUUCUGCAAUCUGUCUUUAUUACACCAGUCAUGGCAAUAAAAGGAGACAGAAAUGCAGAUCCUUGAUAAAGUGAACAUUGUAAUACAAACAAAUCAGCGCAGCACGGUGUAAAGCAACUGUGUGUUUGACACUGCAGCAAAGAUAAGGCAAACAGGUACAGAAUUUUGCAGGAAAGAUGCUAAAACGAAAGGGCAACCAGUUUUGCUUGAACUCCUACAGCACAAAAAGAGCCAUGCGAGGGGUGGCUGAGGAGCAGAGGAUGCAGAGCCCUCCUGAAUGCAGCACUUCCUUUGGCCUUGCAGCUGGCCAGGCCGUGGGCCUGAUGAGCCAGCAGCUAACCAUCCCUAAUGUCUGCAGGCAUCUUUUGCUACUGUUUUAUUCCAUAUUCACUAAUACAUUUUAUAUGACUAGGAGCCAUAGCGUCCUCGCUCCUCUGCUUCUCUCUGCUGGUUUAACAGGUGGCAUCCAUGCUUUCACUGGAGCGAUGCCCUUUAUUUUCCAGCUAUUUAUUCAGUUGUCUUUUAGAUUCUGCAGUUUCUCACUUGAGUGACAAAUGAAUGGCAUGUAAGAAACCAAAAAGCCUUAUCUCCCGACACCAGCCGCUGUUCUGUCUGGACUAAGCUGAUGGCACCUGAGGGUAUGGAGAAGAAGUAUGUGAAAUUUGUAUUAAGCAUUUUCAUACAGAAUGUGUUUUCUUUGUGUUGGAGUUCGGGUCCUGCUGGAGUCUGGCACUCACUCCACCACAUGUUUUUUGUACCCGAGUUUACAAGGCUGCAAACUAACUGAUCUUUUCCUCUGGCUUGUCCAGCCACUGUCACUAAUUAAAACAUGUCAUCCAUGAGAAAUCUAAUUAUCCUGACUGUACAGGAGAGCGAGCUGACGAAAGGGUACCGCUGGCAGAUCAGAGCUGUAGCAUGUGUAUAUUCUUUGGCAGAGGAGAACUGUUCCUUUUUCUCCUUUAGAAACAAAACCCCAGAGCCCAGAGGAGUCCUGGGUUAUCUGUUCCCCUAACAGACCUGCUUGUGUACUACUAGAAGACGCACUGGUCGUUUGGGACAUCAGAAUAUGAACUAUCUAUGAAUGCCUGAGGUCAAGUGGGGGCUGAGUCUCUUACCAGAAAUCUGUCUUGGAUCUGUGAAAACUUCCCCAGAAGUCUUUACGUUAAACUAGAGUAUGAUUUAGGAUGCUUUUUUGUUGCAACAAAUGAAAACAUCCUGAAAAAUAUAUUAUAGUUUGGUGCAUCUCAUCCAAAACUUCUUGAUUGCUUUGAAUCACAAAAUGAUUCAAUGGUACAGAAGCAGGUAUUUUUAAUACAGGACAUUAUAGGGAAGUGAGGAGCAUUGGGGGGAAUGACUGUUUCUCUACCUCUGCUGCUGCAGGAUCUCAGCUCCUUGCAGUGCCGCAGAGCAGCAUGAGGUGGCGCUGGCUGCCUUUGCAAUGGUACUGUCUGACUUUGCAGCGCAGCACGCCUUGCCACGGGACAGUGGGGUCUGCAAAGCUGGGCUCAUUUGUUCAUGCAGGGGAGGUAAUGAUGGGGAAUGAUAUGGGGAAGAAUAGAAAGAAAUGAUGCUCGCAGCCCUUAACAUCUUGAUUACAGAAAACAAAGGUAAGAAUAGUUGAACUACUGUGAUUACGUGGCGAGUUACAGUGUUUGCUAGUGUUAAACUGCAAAGCCAUGUUAUACAAGAUUAAACCUUGUAAGCUCUACUUUCACUGGUAGUCAUAAGUAGAUGUAGACAGCAACUUUAGGGCAAGAAGGGUUCUUCCUGUUAGUCCAGAUUGACUUAGGUUAAAACCAAGGGAUUCUAAUUAAUUCCUUUCAGAACUAGUCUAUAUCUACUAGACCAGCUGACAAACACCAUUUAAAAAUGAAUGAAGGCCAAAUAUUAGAAGAGUUUUAAUUUGUGCUAGCUGAGCAAGUGGCACCCUAUGUUUUGUGCAGUGAAUUUUGCAUUCCUUUGGUAGAACAAAAAGGUCACACUGCCUCGUACUGCAUCACAUAGGAAACAAUCCUGCAGCACCAUAGAAGCACUAAGGUAAAGCUCAAGGCCAGAUGUUAUAUGGAUUCAUUUACAAAAUAAAACAGUGUUUCCCAUCAUCACACCUACAUGGUCUGAAGUAUGAGGACACAGGUGUCCAAGCAACCCGUCCAGCAUUUGUGCAUCUGGAAGGACAUCUCAUGGAUCAGGUGGACAAGAUUCCUUGUUGUGAAAAAAUGUAGUGUUCUCCUUAGGCUGAUAAGCAUUUGAUGAUUUUGGAUAAGCUUUUCUGCACACAGAGGAGCUGACAAUGAUUUUGAUUUUGCCACACCGCUGUGCUGCAUUUCAGUGAUUAGAAUUUACUUACAAUCCUUUGUCUUCCUGUGGGGGGAUGUUAUAAGGAUCCAGCCCCAUUAGAAUUGCAGCAUGCUUGGGUUUGAAAGGGAACUCUGGGGUCAGUCCAGUGCCACACCCCUGCCCAAAGCAGAGUUGAUUAAAACAUAUUGUUUGAAAUCUUAUCUAGUUGGGUUUUGAGUGGAGACUCCACAACCACUGUGUUUGACCAGCCUUUCAGUGAGAAACUUUUUCCUUAUGUUUAAAUGGAAUUUCCCAUUCCUCAGCUUCUCACUAUUGUCCUUUAAUGACUCGAGUCCUUGUUUUAGUCUUGAAGUAGGCUGUAAUUUGUUUUAGAAUCUCCUUUUUCCCUUCCUUGGCCUGGCUGUGAAGUAUGCGGAAGAUGUUUGUUGGUAGACAUGCUAUGACUGUGAUGAUGUUCUAAUUGAGGUGACAUCGACACAUGCCAUUCCACUUCUUCCAUGUGUUCUGGUGCAGCUGUAUCCAGACAUUUCCAUUUUCUUUUGUCCACUGGACUCAUCCUAACAUUUCUGUUGUAAGUCUUAAUGUCAUCAGUGUCACACACAGUCAGCAGUACACAGAGACUCCCGACUAACAGGAGAAUGUUAGCAUUGUAUCACCAGGUGUCAUAGGGGAAAUGGAGGUAGCUGACUAAGAGUGAAUGCUGACAUAUUCCUUUUCACCUACCUUAGAGAAAUUAACUUAAUUGCAGAGAUAAGGGUAAUAUUCCAAGUUUAAAGCCACAAGUUCUCUCAGCUCAGUCUUAGGAAAAAGAAAUAAAAUCUUGAGUGUUAAUUUAAGAGGUUGACAAUGCGAUAAUGAAAACGACUGUUAGAACACGUCCUUGCCACACUGCUAAAACUGGUAACAAGUGGUUUCUUGAAUAUGGAAGAACAUUUGUUUUACGAGCAGGGCCCUGUAUAUAUGCUGAGAGAUUUGGAAAGAAGACUCAUGAAAUCGGGUGUAAUUGUCAGCUGCUGCUUCAGAACAUCUCUGCAUUAUUCAGAGGAAGUAGUACCCAUGUAGGAAGGUUCAUGGACACAUAAUUACUAGAACUGAUAUGUAUUCCUAUUGUGACGUGAAGUUUUUUGGAACACAGUACUCUUCAUUGCAUAUGUGAGCUUGUUGAGUGAGAUGUAAAGGGAAUAUUUAUGUACUUGAUGAUUCCUGAUACUGAUGGGAGCACAGUCCUGAAGGAAACGUACAGAAUGCCUCAUCGCUUGGGACCUGAGUGCCACAACUGAUAAAAGAAAUAUUUUGUGCUUAUUGGCCUGUGUUCGCUUUUGAGUUGAUGGAGCUUCACAGCUAGUUCUUAGGUUGGCAGCCAUCAAUACAUUGCCCUUCAAGAGAGCAGAGAAGAAAACCUGACUGAUUACAGCUCAGCAGCCCCUUGGUUUAAAGAGCCUUGUGACCUCACUGUCAGUGAGAUUGAUGAAAGGUCUACAUACCAGUAUUCGUGAUUAGGAGGCAGUGUAUAACUUGAACAAGUAUCACUAUUGUUCAAGCCUAUACAUGAACCCUUGAUUCUGAGCAGCUCUGGGGUUACCACCUGGCUCUCUGCUCUGUAAACUAACUGAGAUACUACAGUUAAAUCUCUCUGAAGGAAAUCAGGUUGUUUUCCUUACAUUGCCGCAUGUGAAAAUUAGAUUUCACGAGGCAGAAAAAGAGGGGAAUAAUUUACAGUCAUUUUCAUAUUGUAUUUUUAUUCUUAGUGUUUCCUCAUUUCACCACCAAACUGAUCGAGUUCAAUGUAACCAUGGCAGAACUGCUGAGGGAAGAAUAAAAUUCUUGGCAUUGGGCUGCUGAUGUGCUGCUGUUACACUUCUGCUGAUUGAGUAGAAUUUGGAUCUACUUUUGGCCUUCAGGCCGGUUGGCCUGCUCUGGCCAUUACCACACUAUAGAGCCCUUUAGAUUCUGUUGUUUGCAUGUGGAUUGAAGCCUGGGAUUGUUUAGGAAACUGCUACUUGACCUGAGAGAAAAUUGUAUCAUGGAUUCUUCUAAUAAUGUAGAAAAUCAGUUCCCCUGUGGAGUAACCACAGGACCUGUCACAGGAGUUGGAGCAGCUACCGGGCUGAUUGCAGGAGCUGGAGUAAUUACAGGGCUGUACCUCUGGGCACAGUGCACCUGCCCUGGGAGGAAUAUUUUUCUUUUCCUUGUUGCAAUACUUGGAGCAGCCACAGGACCCAUAGCAGGGGUUGGAGCAACUGCGGGACUCGUAGCAGAAAUUGGAAUACCAGAUCUUCCUUGAAGGAAUAUCUCUCCUUCACAGCUGACAAAAGUCACCACCACAGGGUGAAAGGCUGUGUCCCUUUUCCAAUUGCUUUGUCAAUGCCAUUUUCUGUAGAAAGAGAGCCCAGCUGCUUGGCUUCACUGACUGUUAAGUUCAGACUGCUGGUCACGGUAAGACACUAAGAAAGAGAGAAAAUGACUGCUUUCAUAUCAAAACAGUAUCUAGAUAGAUCAGGAGAGGUAUAUAUUUCCGUCAUUGACCACACCAAAACCUGGGUGAAUGCAAUAUCUAGCCUUCCUACAGAUGAAGUUUGAGCAAGUGGGUUCCUGUUGAUGGAAACAUCUCCCUCUGCUUCCCCAGAGUUGUCACAGGCACCACCAGAACUACUACUUUCCCCUUUGGCUUAUAUGAGCCUUGCAAAGAGAGACUUUAAGCUUGCUUUAAUCAUCAGUGAUUCAUCUCCCAUGGUUUGUGUCAAAUAAUAAUGAACUUUACUCUGCAUAUCUCAUUAAUGCAUGCUCUAAAUAUGGGAAAAUAAAGAGCCAUCCCUCAGCCCCACUUCAUCCUAUUCAUGCUGUAAGGAGAUGGGAAGAGCUAUGCAGGGGGACAGGUAAGCCUGGGAGCAGCAGCACGGCUGCAGCCAUUGCCUCCAUCCCCCUGCCUCUGCUCUAUUUUCCUUUCCUUAUUUGUGCCUGCUAAAUACAAGCAUUGGGCUGCACCUGCAGUAACCCACAGAACUGGGCAAAUGGAUUGUGUCCAGUGAGGCAGGGGAUGAGUCCCACCUACCCCCUCCUUACAGCCCUGAUGCCAAGCAGGAGGCAGCACAGGAGAACUUGCUGCAAAAGGAGAUGGCAGAAAGAGACGAUUCCCAAAUCUGAACUUUUCCUGUUGGAGAAAAAAUUGUUUAGGAUUUACAUCAGGUUAACAUAAGGAAGCCCCACUCCCAUGUGUGAAUUUUAAGCUAAACUCGGUUUGAAGAAGUGGCCUAAGGACACAUGGAGGCUGGGCUGCAGGUGAUUAUGUGGAAUUCUUAUAGCUGGGACGAAAAUCCAGGCUGGAGAAAUUAAUUGUUCCCUAGCAAUAAACGGGGGGAUAUUUUUCUAAAAAUAUGAUACAGACAAUUUAAUAGUCCCCUGAAGAGUAACUGACAGAGAUAUGGAGAGAAAAUGUAAUCAUAGAAGUGUGAACUAAAGGGAUUUUAAUUCUGCUCUAAGUACAAAUUUCAAUGAAGCAUCUUUUAUAACAUUGCUACCAGCUCCUUCAUCCUUGGCCAUUACACCGGUUGUCCUUCCAGGGAUGAAGGACACCUACAACACAGAGGUCUUCACAUAAUUUGAAGGUGUCUAUUACUAUUUCCUAGAAGAGAGAGCCUUGAAAUUUCACCGUAGCCUCAGUGAAUAGCAAAUAAUGCAAGACAUAACUAUCAGUUGCUUCUGGCCCAAGAGGAACUCACCUUUCUGUGAGCAGUGUGCACUGCUAGGGGUCAUAGCUGAGGCUCCCUGAGCAAGACAUGGUAUGAGAAAACAGUCAGCAGUGUGAGAGCUGCCAGAAGUUAUGGAUUGCACUGUGAGGAGAGCUGGAUUUCAUGGGUGGUUGGGCAAGAAAUAGCCCAACUUCACAGACGGCUGGAGGGAUGUAUUGGGGAGUAAUAGGGGCCCUGUGGAGAACAAAUUAGCGGUGCCUAGGGAAACACAUCCGUGGAGCUAUGGAAAUCCAAGGUGACCUAGAUAACAGCAUCAAAAUAUCAAAUUUAGGUACAGCAAGACUGAGACAGUGAGAAAAAAAAAAACAUUUAGGGAUGGGUUUAUUGGGAGAAAAUUGAGAUAGAGAGAGUGAGGUACAAGGAUGGUAGAAAGGUGUGCUAACAUAUGGGAAAAGGAAUGACAAGGUACACAGAUCUUGUGAGUGGAGCUGUCUGGUGGUGCUUUUUGGGCAGCCCAGUGCUUGAUCAGCCCAUCAUGCUCCUACAGGUGCAGGAUCAUACACCAUUUUCUGGCCAUGUCCCACCUCUGUGAGCAGGGCAACCGAGGUGGGAGGGGGAAGGGAUGCUCACCUGGCCAGUGAUCAGAUGCGUGGAUGGAUGGACUGGGCAUCCUGCUAUCAGUGUCAGUGCCUGCUGCAGGGCUGAUGGCUUUGGCAUUUACUGUUUUGAAGCCACAGCUUCAGAACACCCUAUCUACUUUAUCUGGAAGAUGGAACAGCUGUGAUGUGGCCCAACUGUACCAGAGCAAAAGCUGAGUAACUCAACUCUUUAACAGAAGUAGGAUUUACCCACUCCAGGUAGGAAAUAAACGUCUUUUAAAAUAUUUAAUGCAAGUCCUUCAUUUUCAGAUAAAGAAAGACAGUAAAGCCAAACAGAAAUACAGCUUCUUCCAGCCCUACUUCACAUCCUGACCUUUCUGCAGGGUAAGCCUUUUGGGUCAAUUGGUUCUGCUCUUAAACUCAGAGCAAAGCUGUAAAAAACGUGUGCAAAGACAGCAAUGGAUUGGAUGCAGAGUCCCGUCCCUGGCUUCAUUCCCACAUUUCACUGCACGGACAGAGCAUCCCCGUUAAGAUAAGAGUACAGCUGGCUUCACGUCAAAACAGCCUAUUUUUUUUUUAAAGCCUGGGAGAUAGCUCUAAGUUUUUUCAACUGCAGCACUGAUUAGUGCAUGGUUACAUCAUUGGUUGUAAUGAAUGUUUUGGUUGCAUCAGUGUCACUCUAGAGCACGUGUGUAAGAGUGAAUUUUCCUGGUGAUAGAGAAGUUCAGGACGUAGAAGGGGAAUGAAUGUGACUCCCUAUCUCUGAGUUCAGCACUUGCCGUCAUGUGAGGGGACGGUAAGUCUGCACAUGGCACACAUAUAUGAUAGAGGUCAAGCUCAGGAUGCCAACUAAGUACCCAGUGUUUAAAUUUACGCGUGACUUCAUGGAACUCCAGGGACGUAUGGCUACUGAAAACAGUAGAGGCUGUUUCCAUACCAAGAACAAAAUUGAUUCUGAAGCUCGGCUGUCCUGUGGACAAGCUCCCCUUCAGGAAUAACUGUAGGAUUAGAUCACAGAAAAAUAACAAGAGCCGUGGCAUGGGUCCAAGUGCUGCAACACAGUCAUCUAUCACAGAAUCACAGAAUCACUGAGGUUGGAAAAGACCAUUAAGGUCAUCUAGUCUAACCGUCAACCCAUCACCACCAUGUCCAUCACCAGCAGAACAGUGACUUUUCAGCUAUCCCGCUACAUCCACCUGCAGGUAUGAGUCACAGCCUCCUGGUUUGCCCAUCCUGACUGCUGACCCAAACCGUCCCUGUGCACUCAAAGGGAAAGGGUCUGUUUCAGUAGUAAUUAGAAGCUUUAUGGACAGAUCAACGCAAAUCAUGUGAAAUUGAAUGACUGAAAAUGUUCUGGGCCAAAUUCGUCUUUAGCAAAAUUUUUAAAGCCUGAUUUUAACGGGUAUGUAAGUGCCUCACAAGGCAGAUGGGUGCUCUGAAGAUUGUGUAGGAGCCAUUGUGUACUAAGAGUGAACUCCUGACAAUUUAAAACACUGAGAUGCGUUUGAAAAUCUCCAUUAACAUCUAAAUACCUUCGGACGCACACAGCUCAUAUUCUUAAAAUAUGAAAAUUGACUCUUGUACUACAGGAAAAUUAAAUCAUAUUCUGGGUUUAAAUCCCGCACAUACUAAGGUAGGGCUGAAACCAAUUUUUAUGGGUUUAAUUACCCAAUUAAUGGGCAAACCCAUUAAUUCAGAGACCACAGUGAUCCUUUUCUCAUAACAGAAAGGAGGAGACAAAAGUAAUUAGCAAGGGCUUGCUGCUGUUGGGCUUAUGCAACAAGUUCUGGAUAUGAAUGAGAGGAAAUACUGGUGAAUAUUAUUUAUCAGAAUGUUCUGAGGCAUUUCUGUACGGGCAUCUGGAAUGACUACUGCCCAAUUACUUUCCAGUCAUUAAGACUGGAACUAUUGGUUAAUGCAGGCUUUGAGUGCUCUGUGUAAUUUGGGCAUUCAAACUGCACCUAAAGCACAGAUGUCUAGUGAAACACUUAGUGGAGAAUCUCAAUAAUACAAUCAGUUAUAAUUAGAUUAAAAUGUUAGAGCACUUACCUUCAUGGAAUAGAGCAGUACUGUGAAAAAGAUAAAGAAGUGCACUAUGGCAUUUUACUUCCAACCGAAAUGAAACCUACUGCCUCAGCGUCAACCUCAGAACUAAAACACAAACUCAUAUAGUACAAAUGGUUUUGUAAAUGGAGCCCUAUAUAUUAAGUAAAUUAUGGCAUUAGUGUUUUUAUAUUCACCUACAUUCGCAUAACUGCCUUCUGAAGCAGUAACAUAGAUCACAAUUGGAGUGCAGCAGAUCAGACAGAUGGAGUUACCAUCCCUGAAGGUGUUCAAGAGAAGGGUAGAUGUGGUACUGACUGAUCUGGUCUUGAGUGACCACGGGCAUGGGUUGAUAGUUGGAUUAGAUGAUCUAAUCAGUCUUUCCAACCUGAAUGAGUCUACGGUUCUAUGACUCUAUGAUCAAUUAUCAAACAUUAUUCAGAAUUAAUAUUCCUCAUAUUUUUAUGCAAUACACAUAUAAAAAAAAAUAUUUACUUGUGGUCAUCAAUGUCAAUUCUGGUUUCUCAUACUGAGUACAUUUUGCUGUAAUGUGUUUCCUUACAUAAGAAAGGUAUAAAGCUUACUCAGGCAUGUGCCCGGGCACGGUAUGCUGCCUGCUCCAUCAUUAAUUCCUUGCCCAGGAGGGCCUCGGCGCUGAGCAAUAACAAAAGGAAAGCACACUGCCAGCGUAAGCUGUGAAGUGAAAUGCUUUGUUUAUAGGAUAUGAGUGCACACUGCUUGUAGGCU